RNAcentral lists this ribosomal RNA (464 nucleotides) under uncultured Myxococcales bacterium. Its description in RNAcentral is "bacterial SSU rRNA". It matches the Rfam family "Bacterial small subunit ribosomal RNA", at positions 338 to 795 of the family's 1533-position model. Lineage: Bacteria; Pseudomonadati; Myxococcota; Myxococcia; Myxococcales. The record is from RNAcentral.
CCUACGGGGGGCUGCAGUGGGGAAUUUUGCGCAAUGGGCGAAAGCCUGACGCAGCGACGCCGCGUGGGUGAUGAAGGCCUUCGGGUUGUAAAGCCCUGUGGGGAGGGAAGAAUAAGGGGCGGCUAAUACCCGCACCGAUGACGGUACCUCCUUAGCAAGCACCGGCUAACUCUGUGCCAGCAGCCGCGGUAAGACAGAGGGUGCAAACGUUGUUCGGAAUUACUGGGCGUAAAGCGCGUGUAGGCGGUCUAGCAAGUCGGAUGUGAAAGCCCUUGGCUCAACUGAGGAAGUGCAUUCGAAACUGCGAGACUUGAGUCCCGGAGAGGAUGGUGGAAUUCUCGGUGUAGAGGUGAAAUUCGUAGAUAUCGAGAGGAACACCGGUGGCGAAGGCGGCCAUCUGGACGGUGACUGACGCUGAGACGCGAAAGCGUGGGGAGCAAACAGGAUUAGAUACCCCAGUAGUC